Molecule: unclassified non-coding RNA, 362 nt
Filed under: uncultured fungus
Lineage: Eukaryota; Fungi
Description: partial contains small subunit ribosomal RNA, internal transcribed spacer 1, and 5.8S ribosomal RNA
Rfam family: Eukaryotic small subunit ribosomal RNA (bases 1-73)
Source: RNAcentral
GCAAACUUGGUCAUUUAGAGGAAGUAAAAGUCGUAACAAGGUUUCCGUAGGUGAACCUGCGGAAGGAUCAUUAUUGAAUAAACUUGGAUUGGGUUGCUGCUGGCUCUUAGGGGCAUGUGCACACUCUCUCCAUUUUUCAAACCCCAUGUGCACCCUUUGUAGAUCUGAAGUAACUCGAGUAUCUUUCAUGGAUGCCUCGGUUUGAGAAUUGCCCUCGCUUUUCUCGAGCUUCAGGUCUAUGUUCCAAUUACACACUCCAAGUAUGUAAUAGAAUGUUGUGAUAGGCCUUUUUGUGCCUUUAAAUAUACAAUACAACUUUCAACAACGGAUCUCUUGGCUCUCGCAUCGAUGAAGAACGCAGC